Long non-coding RNA from Daphnia pulicaria, 313 nucleotides. RefSeq lists it as uncharacterized. The transcript is spliced from 4 exons. The record is from RefSeq and is a predicted model, not a curated record. NCBI's taxonomy places the organism in Eukaryota, Metazoa, Arthropoda, Branchiopoda, Diplostraca, Daphniidae.
ACAUGAAGUGGAAUACAAAUGUGCCGAGAUAAGGUAUUCUUGCUCAUGAACCAUGGGAUCUUUUCUGAAUGUCGCAAUUUUGGUGGCAUAACCUGCAACAGCAUGUUUGUUGUUAUGGCUGUUUCUACUUCUAUUUAGAAGACAACCCAGCUGAGGGAUAGAGUUUCAGAGACAUGAAGAGUGUGAAGUGACGUGCCAUGUAUGUACCAAAUCUGCUUGAUGAAAGUCAAGUGCCCUACGAAAUUCAUCACCCUUAUGAUAAAGCAUCAGGAAAUUUAUCUCAUUAUGUGGAGUAAUGCUGUUGGUUGCUGUG